RNAcentral lists this ribosomal RNA (492 nucleotides) under uncultured bacterium. RNAcentral describes it as "partial 16S ribosomal RNA". It matches the Rfam family "Bacterial small subunit ribosomal RNA", at positions 29 to 507 of the family's 1533-position model. The record is from RNAcentral.
AGUGAACGCUGGCGGUAGGCCUAACACAUGCAAGUCGAACGGCAGCACAGUAAGAGCUUGCUCUUACGGGUGGCGAGUGGCGGACGGGUGAGGAAUACAUCGGAAUCUACUUUUUCGUGGGGGAUAACGUAGGGAAACUUACGCUAAUACCGCAUACGACCUACGGGUGAAAGCAGGGGAUCUUCGGACCUUGCGCGAUUGAAUGAGCCGAUGUCGGAUUAGCUAGUUGGCGGGGUAAAGGCCCACCAAGGCGACGAUACGUAGCUGGUCUGAGAGGAUGAUCAGCGACACUGGAAGUGAGACACGGUCCAGACUCCUACGGGAGGCAGCAGUGGGGAAUAUUGGACAAUGGGGGCAAGCCUGAUACAGCCAUACCGCGUGGGUGAAGAAGGCCUUCGGGUUGUAAAGCCCUUUUGUUGGGAAAGAAAAGCAGCAGGUUAAUACCCCGCUGUUCUGACGGUACCCAAAGAAUAAGCACCGGCUAACUUCGUG